UACGGAGGGUGCAAGCGUUGUCCGGAAUCACUGGGCGUAAAGGGCGCGUAGGCGGCUCAUGAAGGCUGUGGUGAAAGUCCGGGGCUCAACCUCGGAUCGGCCGUGGCGACUCGUGGGCUGGAGCACUGUAGAGGCGGGUGGAAUUCCGGGUGUAGCGGUGGAAUGCGUAGAGAUCCGGAGGAACACCAAUGGCGAAGGCAGCUCGCUGGGACGGUACUGACGCUGAGGCGCGAAAGCGUGGGGAGCAAACAGG
This 253-nucleotide ribosomal RNA is filed under the name uncultured bacterium. Its description in RNAcentral is "partial 16S ribosomal RNA". It matches the Rfam family "Bacterial small subunit ribosomal RNA", at positions 524 to 776 of the family's 1533-position model. The record is from RNAcentral.